Molecule: ribosomal RNA, 497 nt
Filed under: uncultured bacterium
Lineage: Bacteria
Description: partial 16S ribosomal RNA
Rfam family: Bacterial small subunit ribosomal RNA
Source: RNAcentral
GACGAACGCUGGCGGCGUGCCUAAUACAUGCAAGUUGAGCGCUGAAGGUUGGUACUUGUCCCGACUGGAUGAGCAGCGAACGGGUGAGUAACGCGUGGGGAAUCUGCCUUUGAGCGGGGGACAACAUUUGGAAACGAAUGCUAAUACCGCAUAAAAACUUUAAACACAAGUUUUAAGUUUGAAAGAUGCAAUUGCAUCACUCAAAGAUGAUCCCGCGUUGUAUUAGCUAGUUGGUGAGGUAAAGGCUCACCAAGGCGAUGAUACAUAGCCGACCUGAGAGGGUGAUCGGCCACAUUGGGACUGAGACACGGCCCAAACUCCUACGGGAGGCAGCAGUAGGGAAUCGUCGGCAAUGGACGAAAGUCUGACCGAGAAACGCCGAGUGAGGGAAGAAGGUUUUCGGAUCGUAAAACUCUGUUGGUAGAGAAGAACGUUGGUGAGAGUGGAAAGCUCAUCAAGUGACGGUAACUACCCAGAAAGGGACGGCUAACUACGUG